This 253-nucleotide ribosomal RNA is filed under the name uncultured bacterium. RNAcentral's name for it is "partial 16S ribosomal RNA". It matches the Rfam family "Bacterial small subunit ribosomal RNA", at positions 524 to 776 of the family's 1533-position model. The record is from RNAcentral.
UACGUAGGUGGCAAGCGUUGUCCGGAAUUAUUGGGCGUAAAGCGCGCGCAGGCGGCCUCUUAAGUCUGAUGUGAAAGCCCCCUGCUCAACCGGGGAGGGCCAUUGGAAACUGGGAGGCUUGAGUAUAGGAGAGAAGAGUGGAAUUCCACGUGUAGCGGUGAAAUGCGUAGAGAUGUGGAGGAACACCAGUGGCGAAGGCGACUCUUUGGCCUAUAACUGACGCUGAGGCGCGAAAGCGUGGGGAGCAAACAGG